GUGUGUAUGUGUGUGUCUCGGCCUCCGUGCCUUCGGUGAGGCCGGCCCCGUCUCCAGAAGUGCCCCGUGUCCAGUGUCCCGUCCCGGCUGCCACUGGCGGUCCCGCGCUCGCUGUGGGAGGGUGUGUGCGUGGUUCUGGACAGUGACGGGUGGGCGUGAGCCUCUGGCGGGGCACGGCUGCCCGGGCUCCCGGAGGCAGUGAGGCUGGGUGCCGGCCGGCGGCCUCGGGCUUGGGUGGCGUUUGUUCCUCUGGUCGGUCUGAGGGCACCGGAGGAAGUCACAGUCCUGGUUCCCAUGAUGAGUGACGUGGGCGCCCACGUGGCCGCCACGGCGCAGGCAACAGCCCCACUGGAGGCACUCCCUUCCCUUUAAUCCUCACCCGAGGACGUUGGGGGGGGAGAAACGUCCCGCAUGCACCCCGACCAGGGUAUAUGCCCUUGACCGGAAUCGAGCCCACAACCCUUAGCUUCGCAGGCCAACGCUCUAACCACUGACCAAACCGGCCAGGGCGGCCACUGGCUCCUGUCACCGUAGUUGCUGUUGCCCGUCCCUGCGUUUCACGUGAACAGAGCCCGUCGGCGUGGUUUCCCCUCUGUCCCAGCCCCAUCUGUUAGGGAGCCGCUCCCUGCAGCCGGGUGGAUCUGAGGGAGGCGCGAGGUCCUGCCGCUGGGUGCACAGCCUGAUCAGCCCUGGACGCGCGGAAGGAGUGCGCAUCCGUCUUCCCAGGCCAUGAAGGGACUUUUCCACACGCAUCUUGGAAUCUGCUUCUGAACUUGAACAGAAAAGCUGCUGGACUUCUGACAGGAUGGCCUUGACCUCGGGCCGGGGGCGUGGCGUCCUAGCAACGCUGGCUCUGCACUGCUCGGUCCCUCUCCUCGGCUCGCCUGUCAGCAUGGCCGCCCGCGUCUCCCGGAUCCACUCCUGGGUACCAGCUCCCCCUCUGCCUGGCCCGCGGCCGUCCAUCUUCCUCCAGGGGCUCGCGGAUCCGCUGUGACGAGACCCCGAAGGUUGGUCUCUGGGAGUGAGUCACGGGGUGUUUGAUGCCUGAGUGUAAAGGAAGUUGGCACGGGCCGCAGCGCCCGUUCCUGUGAGCGUCGGCCGUGCUGGCGCCUGCAGCUCCCUCUCCGCCGUCUGUCGUGUCUCCGUUGCAGUGAGUUGGCCUAAAGAAGGUGAAGUGUCCGGCUGCAGGCGCGGCGUGGCUGGCGUGGCCUCGCUCCUGAGUGGGGGCUGGGGUCCGUGGGGCGCCCGCCAGGCUGGAAUCUCCUUGUGCCAAGUCUGAAGAACUCAGCUUUUAAAAACGCACGGGACUGUUUAGAUUUUCCAAUUGUUUUUUAAAAAAAUAAAUGUUUGUCAAGGAA
Eptesicus fuscus (big brown bat) is the source of this 1358-nucleotide long non-coding RNA. RefSeq lists it as uncharacterized. Lineage: Eukaryota; Metazoa; Chordata; Mammalia; Chiroptera; Vespertilionidae. The transcript has 2 exons. The record is from RefSeq and is a predicted model, not a curated record.